UGGGGAAUAUUGGACAAUGGGCGAAAGCCUGAUCCAGCCAUGCCGCGUGUGUGAAGAAGGUCUUCGGAUUGUAAAGCACUUUAAGUUGGGAGGAAGGGCAUUAACCUAAUACGUUAGUGUUUUGACGUUACCGACAGAAUAAGCACCGGCUAACUCUGUGCCAGCAGCCGCGGUAAUACAGAGGGUGCAAGCGUUAAUCGGAAUUACUGGGCGUAAAGCGCGCGUAGGUGGUUUGUUAAGUUGGAUGUGAAAGCCCCGGGCUCAACCUGAGAACUGCAUCCAAAACUGGCAAGCUAGAGUACGGUAGAGGGUGGUGGAAUUUCCUGUGUAGCGGUGAAAUGCGUAGAUAUAGGAAGGAACACCAGUGGCGAAGGCGACCACCUGGACUGAUACUGACACUGAGGUGCGAAAGCGUGGGGAGCAAACA
RNAcentral lists this ribosomal RNA (427 nucleotides) under uncultured bacterium. RNAcentral's name for it is "partial 16S ribosomal RNA". It matches the Rfam family "Bacterial small subunit ribosomal RNA", at positions 355 to 774 of the family's 1533-position model. The record is from RNAcentral.